This 1964-nucleotide ribosomal RNA is filed under the name human gut metagenome. RNAcentral's name for it is "bacterial LSU rRNA". It matches the Rfam family "Bacterial large subunit ribosomal RNA", at positions 3 to 1977 of the family's 2925-position model. The record is from RNAcentral.
UUAAGCUACAAAGGGCAUAUGGUGGAUGCCUAGGCGUUCCGAGCCGAUGAAGGACGCGAUAAGCUGCGAUAAGUCAUGGGGAGCCGCAAGUAGGCUUUGAUCCAUGGAUUUCCAAAUGGGGCAACCCGGUACGAGUCAUGUCGUACCAUCCGAAAGGAAGGCACACCCGGUGAACUGAAACAUCUAAGUAGCCGGAGGAAGAGUAAUCAAACGAGAUUCCCUCAGUAGCGGCGAGCGAACAGGGAAGAGCCCAAACCGGACGUCUUCGGACGACCGGGGUUGAGGACCAGCAUCAAGGGAAGGCAAGAUAGCCGAACAGUCUGGGAAGGCUGAGCACAGACGGUGAAACUCCGGUAGGCGAAAUCUUACCCAACGGGCUGGUAUCCAGAGUACCACGAGACACGUGAAACCUUGUGGGAAGCAGGGUGGACCACCAUCCAAGGCAAAAUACUACGGAACGACCGAUAGCGCAUAGUACCGUGAGGGAAAGGUGAAAAGAACCGCGGGAGCGGAGUGAAAUAGAACCUGAAACCGUAUGUCUACAAGCAGUCGAAGCACUUUAUACGUGCGACGGCGUGCCUAUUGAAGAAUGAACCGGCGAGUUAAUUUCAGAGGCGAGGUUAAGCGGGAGACGCGGAGCCGAAGCGAGAGCGAGUCUGAAUAGGGCGCAAGUCUCUGGGAUUAGACCCGAAACCACAGUGAUCUAUGCAUGGCCAGGUUGAAGCUCAGGUAAAAAUGAGUGGAGGACCGAACCCGUGAGUGUUGAAAAACUUUGGGAUGAGCUGUGCAUAGGGGUGAAAUGCCAAUCGAACGUGGAGAUAGCUGGUUCUCCCCGAAAUAGCUUUAGGGCUAGCCUCAGGUAACACAUGGAGACGGUAGAGCACUGAUCGGGUAAGGGAGCGUAAAGCUUACCGAGCCUAGUCAAACUGCGAAUGGCUUCAUGAGAAGAGCCUGGGAGUCAGAAUGCGAGUGAUAAGACCCGUAUUCAAAAGGGAAACAGCCCAGAUCGCCGACUAAGGUCCCAAAUGCUGUACUAAGUGGAAAAGGAUGUAGGACUUCCAAAACAACCAGGAUGUUGGCUCAGAAGCAGCCACCAUUCAAAGAGUGCGUAAUAGCUCACUGGUCGAGAGGCCCUGCGCCGAAAAUAUCCGGGGCUCAAGUACAGAACCGAAGUCGCGGGAUGCGCAAGCAUCGGUAGGGGAGCGUUCCAAGCAGGUUGAAGGCAGACCGGAAGGACGGCUGGACAGCUUGGAAGUGAGAAUGCUGGUAUGAGUAGCGAAACGAUCCGUGAGAAUCGGAUCCACCGAAAGCCUAAGGGAUCCUGAGCAACGCUCGUCGUCUCAGGGUAAGUCGGGACCUAAGCCGAGGCAUAAAGCAUAGGCGAUGGACAACAGGCGAAAAUUCCUGUACUGCAUGAUGUUGUUUGAGGAUGGAGUGACACAGCAAGGAGCUUGAGCGCGCGAUUGGAAAUGCGCGUCGAAGGCGGUAGGCUGGUACAGAGGCAAAUCCCUGUACUAAGGCCGAGAACUGAUAGAUAGGAGCGUACUUCGGUACAAUCCGAAUUCAAGCGUACUACACUGUCGAGAAAAGCUUCUAACGAGACAUCAUGUACCCGUACCAAAACCGACACAGGUAGGCGGGGAGAGAAUCCUAAGGUGCGCGGGAAAACCCUCGUUAAGGAACUCGGCAAAAUGCAUCCGUAACUUCGGGAGAAGGAUGGCCGGAGCUGGUGAAGACCUUCGCGGUUGGAGCUGGAGCCGGCGGCAGAAGAGAAGCCCAAGCGACUGUUUACCACAAACACAGGUGCCUGCUAAAGAGAAAUCUGACGUAUAGGUGCUGACACCUGCCCGGUGCUGGAAGGUUAAGAGGAGAGGUUAUUCGCAAGAAGAAGCUUUGAAUUGAAGCCCCAGUAAACGGCGGCCGUAACUAUAACGGUCCUAAGGUAGCGAAAUUCCUUGUCGGGU